AUACAGAGGGUGCAAGCGUUAAUCGGAAUUACUGGGCGUAAAGCGCGCGUAGGCGGUUUAAUCAGUCGGAUGUGAAAGCCCCGGGCUCAACCUGGGAACUGCAUUCGAUACUGUUAAGCUAGAGUAUGGUAGAGGGAAGUGGAAUUCCAGGUGUAGCGGUGAAAUGCGUAGAUAUCUGGAGGAACAUCAGUGGCGAAGGCGACUUCCUGGACCAAUACUGACGCUGAGGUGCGAAAGCGUGGGGAGCAAACAGAAUUAGAAACCCGAGUAGUCC
RNAcentral lists this ribosomal RNA (274 nucleotides) under uncultured bacterium. Its description in RNAcentral is "partial 16S ribosomal RNA". It matches the Rfam family "Bacterial small subunit ribosomal RNA", at positions 523 to 796 of the family's 1533-position model. The record is from RNAcentral.